GACGAACGCUGGCGGCGUGCUUAACACAUGCAAGUCGAACGGAAAGGCCCUGCUUGCGGGGUGCUCGAGUGGCGAACGGGUGAGUAACACGUGGGUGAUCUGCCCCUUACUUUGGGAUAAGCCUGGGAAACUGGGGCUAAUACUGGAUAGGACCAUGCUGUAGGUGGUGUGGUGGAAAGAUUAUUUUCGGUGAGGGAUGAGCUCGCGGCCUAUCAGCUUGUUGGUGGGGUAAUGGCCUACCAAGGCGUCGACGGGUAGCCGGCCUGAGAGGGUGGACGGCGACAUUGGGACUGAGAGACGGCCCAGAGACCUCCGCGAGGCAGCAGUGGGGAGUAUUGCACAAUGGGGGUAAGCCCGAUGCAGAGACGCCGCGUGGGGGAUGUCAGCCUUCGCGUGGUGAAAUCCGCUCAGCCAUGACGAAGCGCUUGUGGUGACGGUAGUGGUAGAAGAAGCACCGGCUAACUACGUG
RNAcentral lists this ribosomal RNA (469 nucleotides) under uncultured bacterium. RNAcentral's name for it is "partial 16S ribosomal RNA". It matches the Rfam family "Bacterial small subunit ribosomal RNA", at positions 28 to 507 of the family's 1533-position model. The record is from RNAcentral.